This 253-nucleotide ribosomal RNA is filed under the name uncultured bacterium. RNAcentral's name for it is "partial 16S ribosomal RNA". It matches the Rfam family "Bacterial small subunit ribosomal RNA", at positions 524 to 776 of the family's 1533-position model. The record is from RNAcentral.
UACGUAGGGGGCUAGCGUUGUCCGGAAUCAUUGGGCGUAAAGCGCGCGUAGGCGGUCAGGAAAGUCCGGUGUGAAAGUCAUAGGCUCAACCUAUGGAUGCCGCUGGAAACUGCCUGACUUGAGUCCGGAAGGGGCGAGUGGAAUUCCUGGUGUAGCGGUGAAAUGCGCAGAUAUCAGGAAGAACACCUAUGGCGAAGGCAGCUCUCUGGGACGGUACUGACGCUGAGACGCGAAAGCGUGGGGAGCGAACAGG